ACCAGACCUAUCGAACAGACAGAGUUUUUCCUAUCCGUCCAAGACGUCACAAGCAUGUAUAUACAAUAUAUUCUAAACAGAAAUUGAAUACAUGGAUUGCAUAAGAAAAGUAAAAUAAAAGUAAAUACUGCUUCUGGUACAUCACAUAUUUCAUUCAUUUACAUACAUAAGUUUUCCUUCUCAAAAUACAAUUCAAAAUGAGCCUUACAUUUUCUUUAUCCCGUCUUUAUAUUGUUCCCUACAAUUACAUUAUACAAAAU
Molecule: long non-coding RNA, 260 nt
Filed under: Ananas comosus (pineapple)
Lineage: Eukaryota; Viridiplantae; Streptophyta; Magnoliopsida; Poales; Bromeliaceae
Description: long non-coding RNA (ACOM_LNC031431)
Source: RNAcentral